Coturnix japonica (Japanese quail) is the source of this 3010-nucleotide long non-coding RNA. Ensembl lists it as uncharacterized. The record is from Ensembl. Lineage: Eukaryota; Metazoa; Chordata; Aves; Galliformes; Phasianidae.
AAACAGCUAUUCGAACCGCAGAGAGAGGAUGGACUCAUGCCAGCCGUGUUAAAGGACCCAUCGGUGACGAGAAGUGGGAGGUAGCCCCCGGGAGUGACGACCUGAAACUUACACUGCGACAAGCCCAAUGGGUAUUCCAGGUAAAGGCUCCCCCUGAAGAACACUACUGCUGCCGAGAAGAACUAAAAAAACCCCUCGUAGCUGGUUGCAACCCAGUUGACGAGUGAGGCAGAGGAGUGAAUUGUGGGGAAAGAUGGGCCUUAGGGGUAUCCAUUGGUACUUGGGGAUUCUCACAGUGAUCACAUUUUGUAUAGCAGCACAACGCCACCCACACCAAGCUUCCUUACAUCCCUGUGUGACCUGGUACCUAUACAGCCCAGUCUAAACCAAAAGGGUUACUAUUUUUGCCUAAGCUCAAACCUAGGGAGGGGAUACUGUAACCACCCAGGCUCAUAUUACUGUGCCUAUUAGGGAUGUGAAACUAUUGCCUCAGAUUGGGCACCUGGGAGGAGAGGCCGUGUCCCAGCAGGGCCUGGCCAGGCUCGGCAAGGAGUCCCAGGGCAGUCACGGGCCGAGCCUGGCUGUGCCCUGGGUUGGUGGGAGCCGCUGAGGCUGCUAGGGAUGCUCCCCUCUCACUCGCUGCUUUCUGUGCCCAUACAGAAGGAAAGGUCCAAACGUCCCAAACAGAGGAAGUGCCAACACGGAGCUAACCAGGCAAAUUCUAGAGUUUGGGACUUGUGCACGUCUUCACAGCACGCGAGGAUGCACUCCUCAGUGCCCAGUCAGACGGAUGACACCUAUGAAGCCAUCCAAUGUUUUUACAGAACUGUUCAAGACUCCAACAGAUGCUUGGACAGGCUCAUGUUGCAAAUGCCUGAGGGCAGCAAUGAGGGCAGCAAUGAGGGCAGCAACGAGGGCACCAUCACCUGUUGUGGGGAUAUGAAGACACCUUGCCCACAACCAAAGUCCCAGGAGCGGGACCUGCCCUUGGUGGAUGAGGCUAUGAGAAGUCUCCUGGAGCAUCCUGACAUGAAAAUGCAGGCACCAGAGCACCUGCAGAAGAGCCUCUCAGAGCCUAAUCUGGGGCACAAAGACUCCCAGCUUCCACAUCCACUGAGGCAAACAAGGAGGUCCGCUCGCUUGCCCUUCCAGCGCAGGCACAUGCAGGCUCAGGCAUGGAGGUCAUCAGCAGAGGCCUUUGGCCAACGGCAAAAAUCUGCCUCCCUGAUGGACACACGCAAACAAGAAACAAUGCGUACAGUCCAUGCUGACUGCUACAGACUGUGUGAACAGCCUGACAACCAGGAGAACAGGUUGAUGUAUCAAUAUCUGGAGCAGUAUGCAUACGUUGAGAGGAAGAAGCGGGACUUUUUCACACCACACCGCGUCCUGCCUAGCAAUGAAGGAUCCAAGGGUGUGUCUCCAUCUGACCCUGUAGCCCAGCUUGAUGCAGGAAGAGCAAAAGUAGGAGAGAGAAAUCCACCUGCGGACAGGGCCAGUAAGCAGCAGGGCCAGAAAAAUACCACUGCUGCUCAAGAGCCAAAGGGGCUCCCUGGACAUACCCUUGCGGGAAGUAGAUCUUCAGUUGCGUCAAGCAGGAUUGUGCCAAAGGAUGAGCCAUUCAGGCCCCAGUCAGCAAAGCCAGAGGCGAGGCCCAAGCACGUGGCAGAACAACACAGGACACAAAGGUCAGAGACUCUAUCUCAGCUGUGUACAGGCUGCUGUGUGCCACGCUUUCUGUGCCGCUGCAUUCAGCGUGCCUGGGCCAAGCUCAAAGCAGCCAGCAAGGCCCUCUGUUCCAAGAUCAGAAAGGGAAGCGAGAAGCUCUCCAGGAAGGGAAAUAAGCCCUUCACAAACAACAGAUCCUCAGAGCCAACAAGGCUGGACGCGAGUCAUCAUGGGAGCAGACAAUCACUGACACCUCUGGCCAAAAUGAAAACCGCAAGUCCAUUUCUGGAGGGAACAAAGAAGGACUUGGUGGCAUCCGAAGACAAGUCUUUCAGUGCUGACAGUGACGUCACAGCUGCCAGUAAGCUCACAGCUGCCAGCAAGGUCACAGGCGCCAGCAAGGGAUCAAGCCAUGGUGGCAGCAGCCACAGGCACUCGGGCAUGCAGUCGCCAGUUCUCUCUGGGACCAGUAUUCCAGUCUCCCUCCUUCAGGAUGUAGCAGCAUGUCCUGCAGGAGGGAGAUUUGAAUAUUGGUCCCAGAGAGAUUUGGAGGCUCUGCGGGAGGGAGACCAGAAUGUUCUCCCUCCUCUUCACAGUGCAGAUCAUCAGCCAGAGGGGCUCCUGUGCAUUGAUGUCCCUAAGGACAUCAACCGAUGUCACUGCAGGAGGAAGCUCACAGAAUAAUGCAAAGUCCUACAAACUACGUAUCCCAGUGGACUUUGCAUUAUUCUGCAUGUAUGUAUAUGUAGUGCUAUUGCUCCGGUCAAUAGUGUUAUUGUCCGGAGCAAUAGCACUACACCCAGGAUGCUUUCCUGCAGAGAAAGCACUCCUCCACCAAGCAGAGAGCCUCAUGUCUGCCAGAGCCUCCAGUUCUCUCUGGGACCAGUAUUCCAAUCUCCCUCCUUUAGGAUGUAGCAGCAUGUCCUGCAGGAGGGAGAUUUGAAUAUUGGUCCCGGAGAGAUUUGGAGGCUCUGCGGGAGGGAGACCGGAAUGUUCUCCCUCCUCUUCACGGCUCACGGCUCUCUGUCCCUAAGGACAUCAACCGCUGUCACUGCAGGAGGAAGCCCACAGAAUAAUGCAAAGUUUUACAAACUACAUAUCCCAGUGGACUUUGCAUUAUUCUGCAUGUAUGUAUAUGUAGUGCUAUUGCUCCAGUCAAUAGUGUUAUAGAUGGGGAAUAUAAAUAAUGAAAAAUCAUAAAAAUUAGCCUCUCUCUAUUGCCACUUCUAAUGUGAGAAGUCUAGCCAGGGUUUUUGGAUUCUGUGAUUUUAUUUGACUUACGUAUUUUAAAUUUUUUUUUAAUUUCUUUAAUUAUUUCAAAAUAAAAUAAUUUCUCCUCACA